GACGAACGCUGGCGGCGUGCUUAACACAUGCAAGUCGAACGGAAAGGACCUGCAUUUGUGGGGUGCUCGAAAGGCGAACGUGUGAGUAACACGUGAGUAACCUGCCCCUGACUAUGGGCUUACUUCUGGCAACUGGGGCGAAUACCGGAUACGAGCUCAUUAUGAAUGGUCAGGUUUGUAAGGUUUCGGCGGAUGGGGAUGGCCUCGCGGCUUAUCAGCUUGUUGGUGGGGUAGUGGCUUACCAAGGCGUUGACGGGUAGCCGGCCUGAGGGGGGGACCGGCCACAUUGGGACUGAGAUACGGCCCAGACUCAUACGGGACGCAGCAGUGGAGAAUAUUGCACAAUGGGCGGAAGCCUGAUGCAGCAACGCCGCGUGCGGGAUGACGGCCUUCGGGUUGUAAACCGCUUUCGCCUGUGACGAAGAGUGAGUGACGGUAAUGGGUAAAGAAGCACCGGCUAACUACGUG
RNAcentral lists this ribosomal RNA (468 nucleotides) under uncultured bacterium. RNAcentral's name for it is "partial 16S ribosomal RNA". It matches the Rfam family "Bacterial small subunit ribosomal RNA", at positions 28 to 507 of the family's 1533-position model. The record is from RNAcentral.